CGGAGGAGGAGGAAUUUGAGGAGGAGGAGGGUGAAGAAGAGAAGGAAGAAGAAGGAGAGGAGGAGGACUAUGAAGAAGAGGAACAGGAUGAAGACAAAGAGGAGGACGAGGAGGAGGCUGAGGAUGAGGACAAGGAGGAGAAGGAAAAGGACAGCAAAGAGGAUACAGAAAUUGCUUGUGGCGCCUGUUCUGCUGAGCAUAGAGUAUGGGAUACGGCUACUGAGUAUAAACUGGAGUACUUUUUUGGAGAAAGUCUCCCAAUGUCUUUAUUGUUCUUCUCUAAAGAAGCUACUGAAUAUAAGUAUGAAAAUUCUGAUGAAGAGGCUCAAGAAGCUGGAGGCAAGAAGGAGAGAGAAGAGGAUGAAAAUGAAGAACUGGAAGAAGGACUAGAAAAGGAUCCGGACUCAGCAGAGGACAGCACCUUCAAAAAAUCCAGGUAUUCAUGUAUAGUCUUGAGUAUUAACUAACCACUUCUGACAUACACCUUUUACUAGCAGCGUUAUGUUUUUAAUUUUUCUCUGUAAGCUAAGUAAGCAAAAUAUUGGUAAAAUUUUAAAAAGUUUAAUGCUAAUAAUGUAUUUUCAUAUUGGAUAAAUAGAAGGCAAUAUGUUCGGAAAUGUAUUUCAUUCGUAGCUACAAGUCCUUUAUCUUGUAGCUCUAAGAUUGCUACAGAUGGGAAAUCUAUUAGACCCAGUAGUGGAGAUCGAUAUUUGUUUACAGAAAGGUCACGAGAAGAAGGAGCAGCAAAGUGGCUGGGCCAUGCACUAGUUUGACCUUAAUCGCUCGACCACAGAAAUGUAGUCUCUUGUACUGAUAAUGUCUUUGAGAAGGUUGACUACUGUAUUUACAAAGUAG
This 855-nucleotide long non-coding RNA is filed under the name Macaca mulatta (Rhesus monkey). Its description in RNAcentral is "lncRNA (ENSMMUG00000062028.1)". The record is from RNAcentral. Lineage: Eukaryota; Metazoa; Chordata; Mammalia; Primates; Cercopithecidae.